ACAGAGGGUGCGAGCGUUAAUCGGAAUUACUGGGCGUAAAGGGCGCGUAGGCGGUUUGGUAAGUCGGAUGUGAAAGCCCUGGGCUUAACCUGGGAAUUGCAUUCGAUACUGCCCGACUAGAGUAUGGUAGAGGAAAGCGGAAUUCCGGGUGUAGCGGUGAAAUGCGUAGAUAUCCGGAGGAACAUCAGUGGCGAAGGCGGCUUUCUGGACCAAUACUGACGCUGAGGCGCGAAAGCGUGGGGAGCAAACAGG
Molecule: ribosomal RNA, 252 nt
Filed under: uncultured bacterium
Lineage: Bacteria
Description: partial 16S ribosomal RNA
Rfam family: Bacterial small subunit ribosomal RNA
Source: RNAcentral